GAUGAACGCUGGCGGCGUGCCUAAUACAUGCAAGUCGAGCGAACAGACGAGGAGCUUGCUCCUCUGACGUUAGCGGCGGACGGGUGAGUAACACGUGGAUAACCUACCUAUAAGACUGGGAUAACUUCGGGAAACCGGAGCUAAUACCGGAUAAUAUAUUGAACCGCAUGGUUCAAUAGUGAAAGACGGUUUUGCUGUCACUUAUAGAUGGAUCCGCGCCGCAUUAGCUAGUUGGUAAGGUAACGGCUUACCAAGGCAACGAUGCGUAGCCGACCUGAGAGGGUGAUCGGCCACACUGGAACUGAGACACGGUCCAGACUCCUACGGGAGGCAGCAGUAGGGAAUCUUCCGCAAUGGGCGAAAGCCUGACGGAGCAACGCCGCGUGAGUGAUGAAGGUCUUCGGAUCGUAAAACUCUGUUAUUAGGGAAGAACAAAUGUGUAAGUAUCUAUGCACGUCUUGACGGUACCUAAUCAGAAAGCCACGGCUAACUACGU
This 496-nucleotide ribosomal RNA is filed under the name uncultured bacterium. RNAcentral describes it as "partial 16S ribosomal RNA". It matches the Rfam family "Bacterial small subunit ribosomal RNA", at positions 28 to 506 of the family's 1533-position model. The record is from RNAcentral.